CAGCAGCCGCGGUAAUACGUAGAGUGCAAGCGUUAAUCGGAAUUACUGGGCGUAAAGCGUGCGCAGGCGGUUAUAUAAGUCAGAUGUGAAAUCCCCGGGCUCAACCUGGGAACUGCAUUUGUGACUGGCAAGCUAGAGUAUGGCAGAGGGGGGUGGAAUUCCGCGUGUAGCAGUGAAAUGCGUAGAUAUGCGGAGGAACACCGAUGGCGAAGGCAGCCCCCUGGGCCAAUACUGACGCUCAUGCACGAAAGCGUGGGGAGCGAACAGGAUUAGAUACCCCCGUAGUCCCUGUCUCUUAUAC
Molecule: ribosomal RNA, 301 nt
Filed under: uncultured bacterium
Lineage: Bacteria
Description: partial 16S ribosomal RNA
Rfam family: Bacterial small subunit ribosomal RNA
Source: RNAcentral